UCGAGAAUUUUUCACAAUGGGCGAAAGCCUGAUGGAGCGACGCCGCGUGGGGGAUGAAUGGCUUCGGCCCGUAAACCCCUGUCAUUUGUGAACAAAGCGACUGACCUAAAACGUCAGUCGUUGAUAGUAGCGAAAGAGGAAGGGACGGCUAACUCUGUGCCAGCAGCCGCGGUAAUACAGAGGUCCCAAGCGUUGUUCGGAUUCACUGGGCGUAAAGGGUGCGUAGGCGGUUAGGUAAGUCUGAUGUGAAAUUCCGGGGCUCAACUCCGGAACGGCAUCAGAUACUACCUUACUAGAGGGUUGGAGGGGGGACUGGAAUUCUCGGUGUAGCAGUGAAAUGCGUAGAUAUCGAGAGGAACACCAGUGGCGAAGGCGAGUCCCUAGACAAUUCCUGACGCUGAGGCACGAAAGCCAGGGGAGCAAACGGG
This 428-nucleotide ribosomal RNA is filed under the name uncultured bacterium. RNAcentral's name for it is "bacterial SSU rRNA". It matches the Rfam family "Bacterial small subunit ribosomal RNA", at positions 355 to 776 of the family's 1533-position model. The record is from RNAcentral.